Molecule: ribosomal RNA, 468 nt
Filed under: uncultured bacterium
Lineage: Bacteria
Description: partial 16S ribosomal RNA
Rfam family: Bacterial small subunit ribosomal RNA
Source: RNAcentral
GACGAACGCUGGCGGCGUGCUUAACACAUGCAAGUCGAACGGAAAGGCCCUGCUUUUGUGGGGUGCUCGAGUGGCGAACGGGUGAGUAACACGUGAGUAACCUGCCCUUGACUUUGGGAUAACUUCAGGAAACUGGGGCUAAUACCGGAUAGGAGCUCCUGCUGCAUGGUGGGGGUUGGAAAGUUUCGGCGGUUGGGGAUGGACUCGCGGCUUAUCAGCUUGUUGGUGGGGUAGUGGCUUACCAAGGCUUUGACGGGUAGCCGGCCUGAGAGGGUGACCGGCCACAUUGGGACUGCGAUACGGCCCAGACUCCAACGGGCGGCAGCAGUGGGGAAUAUUGCACAAUGGGCGGAAGCCUGAUGCAGCAACGCCGCGUGCGGGAUGACGGCCUUCGGGUUGUAAACCGCUUUCGCCUGUGACGAAGCGUGAGUGACGGUAAUGGGUAAAGAAGCACCGGCUAACUACGUG